Molecule: unclassified non-coding RNA, 324 nt
Filed under: soil metagenome
Description: partial contains 5.8S ribosomal RNA, internal transcribed spacer 2, and large subunit ribosomal RNA
Rfam family: 5.8S ribosomal RNA (bases 1-120)
Source: RNAcentral
GAUGAAGAACGCAGCGAAAUGCGAUAAGUAAUGCGAAUUGCAGAAUUCAGUGAGUCAUCGAAUCUUUGAACGCACAUUGCGCCCUGUGGUAUUCCGCAGGGCAUGCCUGUUCGAGCGUCAUUUCAACCAUCAAGCCCCGCUUGGUGUUGGGCCCCGCCCGCUGUGGCCGGCCCUAAAGACAGUGGCGGCGCCGCCUGGCCCUCAGCGUAGUACAUCUCUCGCUCCAGGGUCCGGUGGCCGCCUGCCAGAACCCCCCAACUCUGUGGUUGACCUCGGAUCAGGUAGGGAUACCCGCUGAACUUAAGCAUAUCAAUAAGCGGAGGA